This 544-nucleotide ribosomal RNA is filed under the name uncultured bacterium. Its description in RNAcentral is "bacterial SSU rRNA". It matches the Rfam family "Bacterial small subunit ribosomal RNA", at positions 777 to 1320 of the family's 1533-position model. The record is from RNAcentral.
AAUAGAUACCCUGGUAGUCCACGCCGUAAACGAUGAGUGCUAAGUGUUAGGGGUUUCCGCCCCUUAGUGCUGCAGCUAACGCAUUAAGCACUCCGCCUGGGGAGUACGGUCGCAAGACUGAAACUCAAAGGAAUUGACGGGGGCCCGCACAAGCGGUGGAGCAUGUGGUUUAAUUCGAAGCAACGCGAAGAACCUUACCAGGUCUUGACAUCCCAUUGACCACUAUGGAGACAUAGUUUUCCCUUCGGGGACAACGGUGACAGGUGGUGCAUGGUUGUCGUCAGCUCGUGUCGUGAGAUGUUGGGUUAAGUCCCGCAACGAGCGCAACCCUUGUUCUUAGUUGCCAUCAUUUAGUUGGGCACUCUAAGGAGACUGCCGGUGACAAACCGGAGGAAGGUGGGGAUGACGUCAAAUCAUCAUGCCCCUUAUGACCUGGGCUACACACGUGCUACAAUGGACGGUACAAACGGUUGCCAACCCGCGAGGGGGAGCUAAUCCGAUAAAACCGUUCUCAGUUCGGAUUGUAGGCUGCAACUCGCCUACA